Zootermopsis nevadensis is the source of this 868-nucleotide non-coding RNA. Lineage: Eukaryota; Metazoa; Arthropoda; Insecta; Blattodea; Termopsidae. The record is from RefSeq and is a predicted model, not a curated record.
AGUCGCAGCAGACAUCCGAUCAGCUGCGUGCCAUGUCUGCUUGACAUUUGCAGAAGCAAAUUACACUACUGUUCUUCAAGAAUUUGGGAAAUUUAUUGGAGAAGACUUGAUGGCAAUAAUGGUGUUUGACAGAGAGUGUUUAUAUUGCUCAGUUUGAAGAGUACACACUGCCCUUUAUCAAUCACUUGAUAGAAAGGAGGAUUGGACACUGGGACAUAGCCAUCAGGGAACUUGCUGCAAAGGCACUUCACAAGCUGACACCACUACUCCCUGAAGAUUACACAGUUCAAACUGUUCUCCAUGUCUUGUUAGAUGAGACAUCUUCCAUUGAUCCCAGUACUCGUUAUGGUGCCGUGUUGGGCAUCGCUGAAGUUCUUCCUGCACUGGCUGUUAUGGCUGCACAGUCGGAUCGAACUAUACAGAAUGUAGUUGGUAAGUUGUUACUUUUAGGCACAUUUAACAGUGGUUUAUGACCACAUUGUGGUUUCUGUUCCUGGACUUUUAGAAAUCUUUGUAUCAUGUGAAAUCCCAACUCUACAAAUCCUGUAGUUUUUUUGUUUUUUUUGUGUCAUACAGAAAGACCGAUUUAAACAACAUUAUUCCCUUUCCAUUUCUUAUGAAUUUUGAUUUACUAAAUAACCUGCAUGUGGCAUAAGGAAUAUUCUACCUUCUAGAACUUUUUCAUUGAUUUAGUGAACUUAUGGUGAAAACAAAAAUCAUUUCUGCAUGAUCUUAAUCUUGGUGAAUGACAUAUAUGUAGCCCUCGAUUUAUGCCAGGGAUGCGUUCCUGGACGAACCGGCGUAAACGGAGUCGGCGUAAAUUGAAACUCUUUUAUAAUGUUAAUCAAUAGGAAGUCAAUGACAUGCG